This 305-nucleotide ribosomal RNA is filed under the name uncultured bacterium. RNAcentral describes it as "bacterial SSU rRNA". It matches the Rfam family "Bacterial small subunit ribosomal RNA", at positions 335 to 654 of the family's 1533-position model. The record is from RNAcentral.
UUUCCUACGGGACGCAGCAGUGGGGAAUAUUGGGCAAUGGGCGCAAGCCUGACCCAGCAACGCCGCGUGAAGGAAGAAGGCUUUCGGGUUGUAAACUUCUUUUCUUGGGGACGAAGAAAGUGACGGUACCCAAGGAAUAAGCCACGGCUAACUACGUGCCAGCAGCCGCGGUAAUACGUAGGUGGCAAGCGUUAUCCGGAUUUAUUGGGUGUAAAGGGCGUGUAGGCGGGAUUGCAAGUGAGAUGUGAAAACUACGAGCUCAACCUGUGGUCUGCAUUUGCAACUGUAGUUCUUGAGUGCUGGCG